AACGAACGCUGGCGGCAUGCCUAACACAUGCAAGUCGAACGAGACCUUCGGGUCUAGUGGCGCACGGGUGCGUAACGCGUGGGAACCUGCCCUUAGGUUCGGAAUAACUCCCCGAAAGGGGUGCUAAUACCGGAUAAUGUCUUCGGACCAAAGAUUUAUCGCCUUUGGAUGGGCCCGCGUUGGAUUAGCUGGUUGGUAGGGUAAAAGCCUACCAAGGCGACGAUGCAUAGCUGGUCUGAGAGGAUGAUCAGCCACACUGGGACUGAGACACGGCCCAGACUCCUACGGGACGCAGCAGUGGGGAAUACUGGACAAUGGGGGAAAGCCUGAUAAAGCAAUGCCGCGUGAGUGAUGAAGGCCUUAGGGUUGUAAAGCUCUUUUACCCGGGAUGAUAAUGACAGUAACGGGAGAAUAAGCACCGGCUAACUACGUG
This 433-nucleotide ribosomal RNA is filed under the name uncultured bacterium. Its description in RNAcentral is "partial 16S ribosomal RNA". It matches the Rfam family "Bacterial small subunit ribosomal RNA", at positions 29 to 507 of the family's 1533-position model. The record is from RNAcentral.